This 253-nucleotide ribosomal RNA is filed under the name uncultured bacterium. RNAcentral describes it as "partial 16S ribosomal RNA". It matches the Rfam family "Bacterial small subunit ribosomal RNA", at positions 524 to 776 of the family's 1533-position model. The record is from RNAcentral.
UACGAAGGGGGCGAGCGUUGUUCGGAAUCACUGGGCGUAAAGAGUGCGUAGGCGGUUAUGAAAGUUAGAAGUGAAAGCCCAGGGCUUAACCUUGGAAUUGCUUUUAAAACUACAUAACUCGAAUUCGGGAGAGGAUAGCGGAAUUCUCAGUGUAGCAGUGAAAUGCGUAGAUAUUGAGAGGAACACCAGUGGCGUAAGCGGCUAUCUGGACCGACAUUGACGCUGAGGCACGAAAGCGUGGGGAUCAAACAGG